RNAcentral lists this unclassified non-coding RNA (395 nucleotides) under soil metagenome. Its description in RNAcentral is "partial contains 5.8S ribosomal RNA, internal transcribed spacer 2, and large subunit ribosomal RNA". The stretch from base 1 to 120 matches the Rfam family "5.8S ribosomal RNA", at positions 35 to 154 of the family's 154-position model. The record is from RNAcentral.
GAUGAAGAACGCAGUGAAAUGCGAUAAGUAAUGUGAAUUGCAGAAUUCAGUGAAUCAUCGAAUCUUUGAACGCACCUUGCGCCUUUUGGUAUUCCGAAAGGCACACCUGUUUGAGCGUCAUGAAUACCUCAAUCUCCAUCUUUUCUUCGGAUUGAUGGGUGACUUGGAUGUUGAGCCCUGCUGGUAUGCUAUAUCAGCUGGCUUUAAACUUAUUAGCCGGCUCUGUACUGGAUCGGUUUGACUCGACGUGAUAAUAUUAUCGUUGAGGAUGCAUGUCUCAUGCAGCCGGAAAGUAUCAAAGCAGCUUCUAGCUUGCCUUUAGUGUACUUUUACAUUUUAGACCUCAGAUCAGGUGGGACUACCCGCUGAACUUAAGCAUAUCAAUAAGCGGAGGA